UGAAGUCCAUAUUGGCUCUACUUUUUUUUGUGUCCUGUGCAAAGGCUCUUGUCCACUAUGUGAAGCUUAAAAAAGGCAAGGAAGGUUGUCUAUCGCCAACUGGAGCGGAAAUGACGGUUUGGGGUAUGGUACAGGACGAUAAAACAUGUGGCCUUUAUCAUUGCCAAAAUAAGCAAGGGGACGCCUUGAUUCACUAUUGCCAAAUACCUGCGACAUUUAUGAAAUGUUUUUCCGAUGGAGUCCUUACCACAGAGGAUUUUCCACAAUGUUGUUGGAUGUGUUGUACUUUCGUGGCGUGUGACGGUGGCAAGGCUCGUGUAAUGCCAGGUUUAGAAGAAUUUCCCCCAGCUGGCGGAGAAAAUCCACAAAGUGGAGGAGAAAAUCCACAAAAAGGGGGAGACAAUCUACCUCCAAGAUCACCUGCAGAUGACGACCAAUUUGUUCCUCCAGAACCUAUGGGUUUUAUAACAGAAAAUCCUAUUAUUGUGGACUCUGUGCAAUUGGAUCGAGAAGGACAUCCGAUAGGCAGUAGUCGAGGACGAGCAUCAAAACCAGAGCCUGCAAACUCGAAGCAACUAUUUAAAUAUAUCUAAAUAAAUAAUUCGAACUUAAAUCAA
Non-coding RNA from Drosophila bipectinata, 617 nucleotides. The record is from RefSeq and is a predicted model, not a curated record. NCBI's taxonomy places the organism in Eukaryota, Metazoa, Arthropoda, Insecta, Diptera, Drosophilidae.